UCCUUGUGGCUGGCCUGGUGGUGUCUCUGCUGGCUUCCCAUUACAGCCCGGGGGGCUUGGUGCCUUUUAAACACAGCAGGGUAAUAAUGAACAAUGCCUCUAAAUAACACGGGACGUCCAGCACAGAAGUCGUCUACAUCAAUGAGCAGAAGGUGAUCGCCCAGAGACUGCACUUAAAUCUACAGUGACCAGUGAGUGUUGCCUGAGGAAGGUCUGCUCUUGUAGCCUUUCAUCAAUCAGGUAAACAACCUCAAGGUCAAUUUUAAACUGAUAAAUCAUUUCUACAGCAACGGUGGAUAAUUACACAAAUACACUGCCCUGCUCCCAAAACUGUGGCUUUAACCAAGCGAUCGACCUGGAAACACGCCAAGAUGAUCGAUGGCCGGGUUGGACACCCCUGGUAUACAGGCUAUGCGAUGCUGCGGUUGAGGAAGAAAAAGCGGCUCUCAUCAGACUGGCCCGCUUGGAAACGCGCUGUCCGCCCCUGACCAUGACACCGCCUGUUCAAAACAAUUCGUCCCGAUGAAC
Molecule: non-coding RNA, 528 nt
Organism: Paramormyrops kingsleyae
Lineage: Eukaryota; Metazoa; Chordata; Actinopteri; Osteoglossiformes; Mormyridae
Source: RefSeq, a predicted model, not a curated record